AUUAAACGCUGGCGGCAUGCCUUACACAUGCAAGUCGAACGGCAGCACGGGGGCAACCCUGGUGGCGAGUGGCGGACGGGUGAGUAAAGCAUCGGAACGUAUCCUGGAGUGGGGGGAUAACGUAGCGAAAGUUACGCUAAUACCGCAUAUUCUGUGAGCAGGAAAGCAGGGGAUCGCAAGACCUUGCGCUCUGGGAGCGGCCGAUGUCGGAUUAGCUAGUUGGUGGGGUAAAGGCCUACCAAGGCGACGAUCCGUAGCGGGUCUGAGAGGAUGAUCCGCCACACUGGGACUGAGACACGGCCCAGACUCCUACGGGAGGCAGCAGUGGGGAAUUUUGGACAAUGGGCGCAAGCCUGAUCCAGCCAUGCCGCGUGAGUGAAGAAGGCCUUCGGGUUGUAAAGCUCUUUCGGCGGGGAAGAAAUUGCACGGGUUAAUACCCGUGUGUAGAUGACGGUA
RNAcentral lists this ribosomal RNA (456 nucleotides) under uncultured bacterium. Its description in RNAcentral is "bacterial SSU rRNA". It matches the Rfam family "Bacterial small subunit ribosomal RNA", at positions 29 to 477 of the family's 1533-position model. The record is from RNAcentral.